AUUGAACGCUGGCGGCAGGCCUAACACAUGCAAGUCGAGCGGAUGAAGGGAGCUUGCUCCUGGAUUCAGCGGCGGACGGGUGAGUAAUGCCUAGGAAUCUGCCUGGUAGUGGGGGAUAACGUCCGGAAACGGGCGCUAAUACCGCAUACGUCCUGAGGGAGAAAGGGGGGGAUCUUCGGACCUCACGCUAUCAGAUGAACCUAGGUCGGAUUAGCUAGUUGGUGGGGUAAAGGCCUACCAAGGCGACGAUCCGUAACUGGUCUGAGAGGAUGAUCAGUCACACUGGAACUGAGACACGGUCCAGACUCCUACGGGAGGCAGCAGUGGGGAAUAUUGGACAAUGGGCGAAAGCCUGAUCCAGCCAUGCCGCGUGUGUGAAGAAGGUCUUCGGAUUGUAAAGCACUUUAAGUUGGGAGGAAGGGCAGUAAGUUAAUACCUUGCUGUUUUGACGUUACCAACAGAAUAAGCACCGGCUAACUUCGUG
This 484-nucleotide ribosomal RNA is filed under the name uncultured bacterium. Its description in RNAcentral is "partial 16S ribosomal RNA". It matches the Rfam family "Bacterial small subunit ribosomal RNA", at positions 30 to 507 of the family's 1533-position model. The record is from RNAcentral.